RNAcentral lists this ribosomal RNA (253 nucleotides) under uncultured bacterium. RNAcentral's name for it is "partial 16S ribosomal RNA". It matches the Rfam family "Bacterial small subunit ribosomal RNA", at positions 524 to 776 of the family's 1533-position model. The record is from RNAcentral.
UACGAAGGGGGCUAGCGUUGCUCGGAAUCACUGGGCGUAAAGCGCACGUAGGCGGCUUCUUAAGUCAGGGGUGAAAUCCUGGAGCUCAACUCCAGAACUGCCCUUGAUACUGAGGAGCUUGAGUCCGGGAGAGGUGAGUGGAACUGCGAGUGUAGAGGUGAAAUUCGUAGAUAUUCGCAAGAACACCAGUGGCGAAGGCGGCUCACUGGCCCGAUACUGACGCUGAGGCACGAAAGCGUGGGGAGCAAACAGG